RNAcentral lists this small nucleolar RNA (166 nucleotides) under Prunus dulcis (almond). RNAcentral's name for it is "sRNA ncRNA". The record is from RNAcentral. Lineage: Eukaryota; Viridiplantae; Streptophyta; Magnoliopsida; Rosales; Rosaceae.
GUGAGGAUGAGAUUGAGAGAGAGGAUUAAAGGGGGAGGAUGCGAGGGAGGAGUAACAAAAGUGAAAACAAUUUCAAAUUGAUUUCAAUUUUUAGUUUUUGUUUUCACUUUUGUUACUCAUUCCUCCCAUCCCCUCUCUCAUUUUCCCUCUCAAUCCCAUCUUCACU